GUUUUUCGCUUCCCGAUGAGCCCGCGUCAGAUUAGCUAGUUGGUGAGGUAAUGGCUCACCAAGGCAACGAUCUGUAACUGGUCUGAGAGGAUGAUCAGUCACACUGGAACUGAGACACGGUCCAGACUCCUACGGGAGGCAGCAGUAGGGAAUAUUGCACAAUGGAGGAAACUCUGAUGCAGCGACGCCGCGUGAGUGAUGAAGGACUUCGGUUCGUAAAGCUCUGUCGCAUGGGAAUAAUAAAGUG
RNAcentral lists this ribosomal RNA (247 nucleotides) under uncultured Bdellovibrio sp. RNAcentral describes it as "partial 16S ribosomal RNA". It matches the Rfam family "Bacterial small subunit ribosomal RNA", at positions 210 to 456 of the family's 1533-position model. Lineage: Bacteria; Pseudomonadati; Bdellovibrionota; Bdellovibrionia; Bdellovibrionales; Pseudobdellovibrionaceae. The record is from RNAcentral.